Molecule: ribosomal RNA, 478 nt
Filed under: uncultured bacterium
Lineage: Bacteria
Description: partial 16S ribosomal RNA
Rfam family: Bacterial small subunit ribosomal RNA
Source: RNAcentral
GACGAACGCUGGCGGCGUGCUUAACACAUGCAAGUCGAACGGUAAGGCCCUUCGGGGUACACGAGUGGCGAACGGGUGAGUAACACGUGGGUGAUCUGCCCCUCACUUCGGGAUAAGCCUGGAAAACUGGGUCUAAUACCGGAUAGGACCACUGCCUGCAUGGGGGGUGGGGGAAAGCUAUUUGGGGGUGGGGUGGGCCCGCGGCCUAUCGGCUUGGUGGUGGGGUGAUGGGCUACCAAGGGGACGACGGGUAGACGGCCUGGGAGGGUGACCGGCCACACUGGGACUGGGAUACGGCCCAGACUCCUACGGGAGGCAGCAGUGGGGAAUAUUGCACAAUGGGCGCAAGCCUGAUGCAGCGACGCCGCGUGAGGGAUGACGGCCUUCGGGUUGUAAACCUCUUUCAGCACCGACGAAGCGCAAGUGACGGUAGGUGCAGAAGAAGGACCGGCCAACUACGUGCCAGCCGCCGCGGUAA